Molecule: ribosomal RNA, 255 nt
Filed under: uncultured bacterium
Lineage: Bacteria
Description: partial 16S ribosomal RNA
Rfam family: Bacterial small subunit ribosomal RNA
Source: RNAcentral
UACGGUAGGGCGCAAGCGUUAUCCGGAAUUAUUGGGCGUAAAGAGCUCGUAGGCGGUUUGUCGCGUCUGCCGUGAAAGUCCGGGGCUCAACUCCGGAUCUGCGGUGGGUACGGGCAGACUAGAGUGAUGUAGGGGAGACUGGAAUUCCUGGUGUAGCGGUGAAAUGCGCAGAUAUCAGGAGGAACACCGAUGGCGAAGGCAGGUCUCUGGGCAUUAACUGACGCUGAGGAGCGAAAGCAUGGGGGAGCGAACAGG